Molecule: ribosomal RNA, 709 nt
Filed under: uncultured Tomentella
Lineage: Eukaryota; Fungi; Basidiomycota; Agaricomycetes; Thelephorales; Thelephoraceae
Description: eukaryotic LSU rRNA
Rfam family: 5.8S ribosomal RNA (bases 274-428)
Source: RNAcentral
UCUUGGUCAUUAGAGGAAGUAAAAGUCGUAACAAGGUUUCCGUAGGUGAACCUGCGGAAGGAUCAUUACCGAAUUGUCGACACGAGUUGUUGCUGGUCCUCAAAAACGGGGGCAUCGUGCACGCUCUGUUUGCACAUCCACUCACACCUGUGCACCCUCCGUAGUUCUGCAGCCUGGGGGCUCUGUCCCCCCUGCCGUGGUUCUAUGUAUUUACACACACACACUGUAAUAAAGUCUCAUGGAAUGUAUGCCGCGUUUAACGCAAUACAAUACAACUUUCAGCAACGGAUCUCUUGGCUCUCGCAUCGAUGAAGAACGCAGCGAAAUGCGAUAAGUAAUGUGAAUUGCAGAAUUCAGUGAAUCAUCGAAUCUUUGAACGCACCUUGCGCCCUUUGGCCAUUCCGAAGGGCAUGCCUGUUUGAGUAUCAUGAACACCUCAACUCUCAUGGCUUGCCAUGAUGAGCUUGGACUUUGGGGGUCUUGCUGGCCUGUGGUCGGCUCCUCUCAAAUGAAUCAGCUUGCCAGUGUUUGGUGGCAUCACAAGUGUGAUAACUAUCUGCGCUCGUGGUUUUCCACCAGGUAACCUUCAGCAAUGGAGGUUCGCUGGAGCUAAUAAACGUCUCUCCUCGGUGAGGACAGCUCUUUGAACGUUUGAUCUCAAAUCAGGUAGGACUACCCGCUGAACUUAAGCAUAUCAAUAAGCGGAGGA